Molecule: ribosomal RNA, 481 nt
Filed under: uncultured bacterium
Lineage: Bacteria
Description: partial 16S ribosomal RNA
Rfam family: Bacterial small subunit ribosomal RNA
Source: RNAcentral
GAUGAACGCUGGCGGCGUGCUUAACACAUGCAAGUCGAACGUAGCACUUUAUUUGAUUUCCUUCGGGACUGAUUAUUUUGUGACUGAGUGGCGGACGGGUGAGUAACGCGUGGGUAACCUGCCUUGUACAGGGGGAUAACAGUUGGAAACGGCUGCUAAUACCGCAUAAGCGCACGGCAUCGCAUGAUGCAGUGUGAAAAACUCCGGUGGUAUAAGAUGGACCCGCGUUGGAUUAGUUAGUUGGUGAGGUAACGGCCCACCAAGGCGACGAUCCAUAGCCGACCUGAGAGGGUGACCGGCCACAUUGGGACUGAGACACGGCCCAAACUCCUACGGGAGGCAGCAGUGGGGAAUAUUGCACAAUGGGCGAAAGCCUGAUGCAGCGACGCCGCGUGAGCGAAGAAGUAUUUCGGUAUGUAAAGCUCUAUCAGCAGGGAAGAUAAUGACGGUACCUGACUAAGAAGCACCGGCUAAAUACGUG